CAUGCAGUCGAGCGGCAGCGGGAGGAAGCUUGCUUCCUCGCCGGCGAGCGGCGGACGGGUGAGUAAUGUCUGGGGAUCUGCCCGAUGGAGGGGGAUAACCACUGGAAACGGUGGCUAAUACCGCAUAACGUCGCAAGACCAAAGUGGGGGACCUUCGGGCCUCACACCAUCGGAUGAACCCAGAUGGGAUUAGCUAGUAGGUGGGGUAAUGGCUCACCUAGGCGACGAUCCCUAGCUGGUCUGAGAGGAUGACCAGCCACACUGGAACUGAGACACGGUCCAGACUCCUACGGGAGGCAGCAGUGGGGAAUAUUGCACAAUGGGCGCAAGCCUGAUGCAGCCAUGCCGCGUGUGUGAAGAAGGCCUUCGGGUUGUAAAGCACUUUCAGCGAGGAGGAAGGUGGUGAGCUUAAUACGCUCAUCAAUUGACGUUACUCGCAGAAGAAGCACCGGCUAACUCCGUGCCAGCAGCCGCGGUAAUACGGAGGGUGCAAGCGUUAAUCGGAAUUACUGGGCGUAAAGCGCACGCAGGCGGUUUGUUAAGUCAGAUGUGAAAUCCCCGAGCUUAACUUGGGAACUGCAUUUGAAACUGGCAAGCUAGAGUCUCGUAGAGGGGGGUAGAAUUCCAGGUGUAGCGGUGAAAAUGCGUAGAGAUCUGGAGGAAUACCGGUGGCGAAGGCGGCCCCCUGGACGAAAACUGACGCUCAGGUGCGAAAGCGUGUGGAGCAAACAGGAUUAGAUACCCUGGUAGUCCACGCCGUAAACGAUGUCGAUUUGG
This 777-nucleotide ribosomal RNA is filed under the name Serratia marcescens. RNAcentral's name for it is "bacterial SSU rRNA". It matches the Rfam family "Bacterial small subunit ribosomal RNA", at positions 54 to 820 of the family's 1533-position model. Lineage: Bacteria; Pseudomonadati; Pseudomonadota; Gammaproteobacteria; Enterobacterales; Yersiniaceae. The record is from RNAcentral.